GACGAACGCUGGCGGCGUGCCUAAUACAUGCAAGUAGAACGCACAGUUUAUACCGUAGCUUGCUACACCAUAGACUGUGAGUUGCGAACGGGUGAGUAACGCGUAGGUAACCUGCCUGGUAGCGGGGGAUGACUAUUGGAAACGAUAGCUAAUACCGCAUAAUAUUAAUUAUUGCAUGAUAAUUAAUUGAAAGGUGCAAUUGCACCACUACCAGAUGGACCUGCGUUGUAUUAGCUAGUAGGUGAGGUAACGGCUCACCUAGGCGACGAUACAUAGCCGACCUGAGAGGGUGAUCGGCCACACUGGGACUGAGACACGGCCCAGACUCCUAAGGGAGGCAGCAGUAGGGAAUCUUCGGCAAUGGACGAAAGUCUGACCGAGCAACGCCGCGUGAGGGAAGAAGGUUUUCGGAUCGUAAAGCUCUGUUGUAAGAGAAGAACGGGUGUGAGAGUGGAAAGUUCACACUGUGACGGUAUCUUACCAGAAAGGGACGGCUAACUACGUG
RNAcentral lists this ribosomal RNA (505 nucleotides) under uncultured bacterium. RNAcentral describes it as "partial 16S ribosomal RNA". It matches the Rfam family "Bacterial small subunit ribosomal RNA", at positions 28 to 507 of the family's 1533-position model. The record is from RNAcentral.